CAAACCUCCUCCUCUCAGACCACUGAAACAUAAACAGCGUGCAAGAUUAUAUAUCCAAUACAUUUACACUUUGCAGAAAGCUUUACAUUUAUAUCAAUGUUGUUCAAGGAAAAAUGAUAAAUGAAAAAAUAACAUUUUUAAUCUGCAUUCCACUAAUUCGCAAAUAAAAGUCCAAGUUGGAAAAGGUUUUCAUGUUAAAAACAUUUCCUUUGUGUUUGUUUGGAAAAGAAAAAGGAGUAAAAAAAUUGCAAAUUAUAGAUACAAAAGCUCCAACUGUAACAGUAAACCGUUGUAUUUAUAUAUGCCUUCAUGGUCAGGGGAGGUACCACAAUUUCCCACAAAUUUCUUCCAAAAUCCAAAGUUGGAAAAACACAAGAACUGCUCAAAUCCACAGAUAUUUAUUAUAAUCCAUAAACCCAAAAAAUAAUUAGUUUUAGUAAUUUUAAAUUUCACCAUCCCAAGUCCCAAGUAUCAUAAAUCUGUACCAGCAUGAUCACUAAAUGCAUCAAAAUCACUGAAGACAAAUAUGUUAGCAUUGCAGUUGACAUCAUUGAAACCACAUAGAUAAUUCAGUCUAGAUAACCCAUGGCAGAACUACAGAACUACAAACGUAGAAGGUCACAAAAUUCCAACAUUCAAGAUCAAGAACACAGAAGAGAUGCACUGUUACGGCCCUUCUAACUAUUCAUAGAAGAUACAAAUUUGAUUCUCAACAUGUGUUCAUCCAGGAACAACAAUCACAAUGACAUGAGCAGUGUUGAUGUGUCAGGAAUGAUGGGCCGAAAUCAAAAC
This 792-nucleotide unclassified non-coding RNA is filed under the name Hevea brasiliensis (rubber tree). Lineage: Eukaryota; Viridiplantae; Streptophyta; Magnoliopsida; Malpighiales; Euphorbiaceae. The record is from RNAcentral.